GGGGAUCCCACGGUACAGAUCUUGGUGUAGUAGCAAAUAAUCGAAUGAGAUCUCACCUUUGGAGGACUGAAGUGGAGAAGGGUUUCUUGUGAACAGUGGUUGAUCACGAGUUAGUCGGUCCUAAGUUCAAGGCGAAAGCCGAAAAUUUUCAAGUAAAACAAAAAUGCCUAACUAUAUAAACAAAGCGAAUAUAAUACACUUGAAUAAUUUUGAACGAAAGGGAAUACGGUUCCAAUUCCGUAACCUGUUGAGUAUCCGUUUGUUAUUAAAUAUGGGCCUCGUGCUCAUCCUGGCAACAGGAACGACCAUAAAGAAGCCGUCGAGAGAUAUCGGAAGAGUUUUCUUUUCUGUUUUAUAGCCGUACUACCAUGGAAGUCUUUCGCAGAGAGAUAUGGUAGAUGGGCUAGAAGAGCAUGACAUAUACUGUUGUGUCGAUAUUUUCUCCUCGGACCUUGAAAAUUUAUGGUGGGGACACGCAAACUUCUCAACAGGCCGUACCAAUAUCCGCAGCUGGUCUCCAAGGUGAAGAGUCUCUAGUCGAUAGAAUAAUGUAGGUAAGGGAAGUCGGCAAAUUAGAUCCGUAACUUCGGGAUAAGGAUUGGCUCUGAAGAUUGAGAUAGUCGGGCUUGAUUGGGAAACAAUAACAUGGUUUAUGUGCUCGUUCUGGGUAAAUAGAGUUUCUAGCAUUUAUGUUAGUUACUUGUUCCCCGGAUAGUUUAGUUACGUAGCCAAUUGUGGAACUUUCUUGCUAAAAUUUUUAAGAAUACUAUUUGGGUUAAACCAAUUAGUUCUUAUCAUUAUAACGAUUAUCAAUAACAUCAAUUCAGAACUGGCACGGAUUGGGGAAUCCGACUGUCUAUUAAACAAAGCAUUGUGAUGGCCUAGCGGUGUUGACACAUGUGAUUCUGCCCAUGCUUGAUGUCAAAUGAAAAUUCAGUACGCGGUCACGGCGGAGAACUUGAUCUCUUAGGAGCAA
Molecule: non-coding RNA, 976 nt
Filed under: Drosophila simulans
Lineage: Eukaryota; Metazoa; Arthropoda; Insecta; Diptera; Drosophilidae
Description: Eukaryotic large subunit ribosomal RNA
Rfam family: Eukaryotic large subunit ribosomal RNA
Source: Rfam by way of RNAcentral